CCUACGGGAGGCAGCAGUGGGGGAUAUUGCACAAUGGGGGGAACCCUGAUGCAGCGACGCCGCGUGGGUGAAGAAGCGCCUCGGCGCGUAAAGCCCUGUCAGCAGGGAAGAAAAUGACGGUACCUGAAGAAGAAGCCCCGGCUAACUACGUGCCAGCAGCCGCGGUAAUACGGAGGAUGCGAGCGUUAUCCGGAUUUAUUGGGUUUAAAGGGUGCGUAGGCGGGCUUUUAAGUCAGCGGUAAAAAUUCGGGGCUCAACCCCGUCCGGCCGUUGAAACUGGGGGCCUUGAGUGGGCGAGAAGAAGGCGGAAUGCGUGGUGUAGCGGUGAAAUGCAUAGAUAUAAGGAAGAACACCAGUGGCGAAGGCGGAUGACUGGACGGCAACUGACGGUGAGGCGCGAAAGCGUGGGGAGCAAACAGGAUUAGAUACCCCAGUAGUC
This 439-nucleotide ribosomal RNA is filed under the name uncultured bacterium. RNAcentral's name for it is "partial 16S ribosomal RNA". It matches the Rfam family "Bacterial small subunit ribosomal RNA", at positions 338 to 795 of the family's 1533-position model. The record is from RNAcentral.